Molecule: long non-coding RNA, 287 nt
Organism: Oncorhynchus tshawytscha (Chinook salmon)
Lineage: Eukaryota; Metazoa; Chordata; Actinopteri; Salmoniformes; Salmonidae
Exons: 3
Source: RefSeq, a predicted model, not a curated record
GUGAGAUUCCUCAGAGGGCAGUCCGUUUGAAACGAGGCGACAGUAGGAACUAAAAGCUGAUAUUUUCCAGUCCUGAACCGACAACGGUCCUCUAAAAACAACUUCAGUCUUAGCAGUAGCAGUAGCAGCCAGUCUUCUCGUGGUUUGGUUUUCUCACUACCUAGAAGCCAUGGCAGAUGAAGCGGACAUGCGCAAUGAGCUGGAAAACCUGCAGGCGAAGGCAGAUCAGAUAGCCGAUGAGUCACUGGAGAGCACUCGGCGUAUGCUGGCCAUGGUGGAGGAGGUAA